UUGCCUUUACAAGAGGUGAGUCAUACUUCAUAUAUCCAGUAAUUCAACUAUCAUUCUUCAUAUAUCAAAUAAUUGCGUCAAAAGGUAUUGUCACAUAAUUACAAAACAAUUGCAACUGUUUAUAUAUUCUCUCAGUAACUUUGCAUGUGAUGAGUUAUUCAUUCUCAUUGAUGUAGUAUCAUGUUUUAGUCCUUUACCACAGUAAACUUGACUUAAAAGAACACUAUCAGGAGUUUAGCUUUGUGUGUAUUUCAAAGGCUAUUAGUAAGAAUAUAUGGAACAAAUGAAUGAAUGGGGUGGAGACCCACUCACUAGCGGUGGGACCCACUCUCAUUCACAAAUACCUCCUAAUGUAAAAGUUACAUAAACAUGGAAAGAACCUUUAUUAUGGAAAAAGGGGAAAAGAAAAAAUAAUAAAUUAUACUAAAUAUCCAUAUCCUAACGCACCAUAAAUGUGAAAAAACUGUGAUAAAGUGAAAAUAUGUACCUUUUUAUAAAACCUGGGUAAUUUGUUCCAGAGCACCACAUGAAAUUGAAUAGGUUCCCAAAUGGCUAAUAAUGCAUAUACAUGAAAAGGAUAAAAAAAUCAAGCCAUACAGGUCCCCUACAGCAGUGGUAUAAAAUCUAGAGGUAUCUAGAAAUAAUAUAGUCCAUACAGGACUUCCAGUGUAUGUACACUGUCUGUGGCUCGUAUGAAGAUCGUCCUAAUGGGGCAGAGGGUGCCUAGCAGUGGUUCUGGUACCGACACCCAACCGGGCUAAAAUACAGUCACUAGUACAAACCCUUAAAGGUCAGUAGGAUUCUUAUAGUAACCUCUCAAGGGUUGUUAGUACUGAGAAACCUCUCUUUUUUGUUGAGGAAAAAUAAGAAGUGACAGAUCGAUGUUGCAAGUGAUUGCUAGUGGCUAGGUGUGCUCACUAAACUACCUGUGAAGGUGAAUUGGGCCCCCCUACAACCAUCCAAUAGUGAAGACAGCUCGUAACGGAUAAAAAAUCCCCCCACUGACUAAAGUAAGGGCGGGCUAAAGUAACCUUUCUGAGGUACUGGUGUCGGCCUGUCCAGCAUCACAACCUCUUCAUUUGUUUCCUAUUAUUAAGAAUACACAACCAUGCCUAUUUUCUUAAAUGGACACUGUAGGCAUCAAAACAGCUUAUGCUGCCCUAGCCACACCUCCCCUGUCUAUGACUCGCACAACCAACAAGAUAAAAUGGUUUCAUUUAAAAUCAGAUCUUAACUUACUAUUUUUCGCCGAGGGCCAAAAGCCCCAUGCAUGCUUAGGGAGCAUAGUGUAGAAAUAUCCAUACAACUGUUUUUAAAUAUUCAGGAUUCUUUUUUUUUCUGGUCACUUUAAAUUAGUGACGUAAAGAAAGUUAAGGGAAGCUCUUACUUAAAAAUUGAGGUGAGCCAGAGACAAGAGGUCUUUGAUCAUUAACCAAAAGCUGGGCACAGCUAACUCUCUGUACCUCUUCCAACUAAAUUCUGGAACUUUGAAUACUUAAUCUAACACUGUCUUUUCCAACUGAAUCUGAAAUUCUUUAAAUAAUCAGAACUCUCCUAUCUUUACAACAUCCCACAAUUCACUACUCAUACUUGCAUCCACCAUUCACGGCAUAUAUCUCCAAGCCUAAGGAAUUUCUACCAAGAAAGCUGGUAAAUAUGCUGGUCUCAUUUAAUUUAAUUUUAAUUAAUUAAUUUUACUAAAAGCAGAAAUAUACAUGAAUAAAAGCCUGAUCAUAUUUCUAACUUUUGAAAUCAUAAUUAGCUGUGGAAAUACAGGGUUCCACAUUCCAUUCCUGCAGGUGGAAUAAAUGAACAAUAUAUUUACUGGUAAUUUGUCAAGUAUAGAAACAUAGAAACAUAGAAUGUGACGGCAGAUAAGAACCAUUCGGCCCAUCUAGUCUGCCCAAUUUUCUAAAUACUUUCAUUAGUCCCUGGCCUUAUCUUAUAGUUAGGAUAGCCUAAUGCCUAUCCCACGCAUGCUUAAACUCCUUUACUGUGUUAACCUCUACCACUUCAGCUGGAAGGCUAUUCCAUGCAUCCACUACCCUCUCAGUAAAGUAAUACUUCCUGAUAUUAUUUUUAAACCUUUGUCCCUCUAAUUUAAGACUAUGUCCUCUUGUUGUGGUAGUUUUUCUUCUUUUAAAUAUAGUCUCCUCCUUUACUGUGUUGAUUCCCUUUAUAUAUUUAAAUGUUUCUAUCAUAUUCCCCCCUGUCUCGUCUUUCCUCCAAGCUAUACAUGUUAAGAUCCUUUAACCUUUCCUGGUAAGUUUUAUCCUGCAAUCCAUGAACCAGUUUAGUAGCCCUUCUCUGAACUCUCUCUAAGGUAUCAAUAUCCUUCUGAAGAUACGGUCUCCAGUACAUAUCAAGCUAUUAUCCAGAGAUUUUGACUUAUCUGAAUGUAAGGAUAGCUAAUCUUUAAAGGAUCACUAUAGGGUCAGGAACACAAACAUGUAUUCCUAACCCUAUAGUGAAAACCCACCAUUUAGGUGGCUUGCCCCCCCUUAGCCCAUGCAGAGCAUGGCGACUCUGAAUAGCAGGGCUGCUUAAUGUGCAGCCCUGAGCAGGAAGCCCCUCCAGUGGCCAUCUAAGGAGUGGCCACUUGGAGAUGUCCCUAGGGGCAAUGUAAACACUGCCUUUUCUCAUGAAAAUGCCUGAAGGGAGCUAUUAUACUCACCAGAACAACUACAUUAAGCUGUAGUUGUUCUGGUGUCUAUAGUGUCCCUUUAAUCAGAAAAAUUAAUCAUCUGCAAUGUAACAUUUUGGUUGCAUUAUUUUUUUGGGUUACUGGAUGGGAAAUGAAUAUUAAACUGAUUACUUGUGUGAAAAAAUAUUGUAUUUGUUAAUUACAAUAUUAAAGGUAUGUUUCCUGUGAGAAUUGUAGCCAGCAGUGAGUGAGUUACUAGUGUGAUACAAACUGACAGUAAAAGUUAUGGCUGGAAGCUGUGCUGUGAGAUGCUGUGUUCUGUGUUAAGGAAUUCUAGCAAAGCUGAAGUUUUCUGUAGUAAAUCGUGUUGAAAAUUGCAUCUAUGUGGAUAUUGAGCUAUCUGUAAUUGUGUCAUAACUGCUGCAAUAUUGCAUACUAAUGUUAUACCUAAAUAUUUACUGAUUAUUGUCACACAUGUUACUUAUUAUUAUUAUUAAUUAUUUGUCACAAUAAAUUAUAUUUGUAUAAUCAUUUGUGAUUAAUGUGUGAAAUACUAAUUCUCUAGGGUCUAUAAGAGUUAAAAUAGUAGGUAACUCUUUGCUUUAAAUCCAUCAAGGGAAACAACACAGAUAUAAUAAAAAUAUUAAAUUCAUUUUUGAUAAUUUUUAUGAUAAUAUUUCUAAUAUGUAUCACCCCAUAAAUAUCCUCACAGAUAGUUUUUGGAUGAUCUUGAAGUGGACAUUAAAAGUAAUUUGUACAUGACACAAAACUAGAUAAGAAAAUACAGUCUGAACAGGAUAUAAGUUCUCUACAGAGGGAUUUAAAUAAAUUGGGGAAUGGGUAGGCAAGUGGCAGAUGAGAUUCAAUACAGAUCAAUGCACAAUAAUGCAUUUUGGAAUAAGGAGUCCACAAGUCAUUUACACAUUAAAUGGGGUUGAGUUAUGGACAACAUUAAAUGAAGAGGACUUGGUAACCAUUAUAGAUCAUAAACUAGGAAACAGUAUGAAACACCGGUCUAUCAUUGCAAAAGCUAGUGAAGUGCGUUAAUGCAUAAAAGGGGUUUUGAUUUAAGUGAUCCAAUUAUAAUUUUGCCUCUUUACAAAUCAAUGGCAAAACUCUACCUUGAAUAUCUGGUGCAAUUUUGGCACCAAUUUUUUAAGAAGGUGCGACAGACCGCCUGGUGCCCCGACCUGGUGCCUCCGUCAGUCGAUGCUCCUAGUGCUCACUGAGUGCUCCAAGCACUCCACCAGACACCAUAAGCACUGUAGACUCCACGAGCUUGGUUGUGGUCUCGCCGUCCUCCACCCACCCUGGACCCAAGACCGUGAUCCAGCUUCCAGCAGGUAGACCUCUCCUACUCCAGAGAGCAUGGCAGGAACAGCUCUUAAAAGAGCUAGUGAUUAUACUCAGGGGAGUAUUGUGAUAUAGCAAUCCCCAGAGUGUAUGUAAUCCCCCAAACAUGAGCCAAGACUUCAUGAAGGAUAAAGCAUAUUGUUUAAUGGGAGCCACAGCUGGCCUUUUAUGCAAGUCCCCAUGCAAGGGAACACCCACGUGGACCUUGUGGGGAACAGGAUGACAAUUGGUACAAGCCAAUGAUAAUGCAGUACAGUAGGUGACACUCCCAUACAUUACACACAAUCCCUCCCCUCAUCCUGGGAGAUUAUUGAGUCAAGUCCUGUAUGUAACUCAAUUAUCUCCAGGCAGAAAAACACACAUUUUUACAAAGUAUGAAAAGUACCCCAAAACACAACAUAUCCCCAUAAAUGUCACAUCCCCUGAUAGCCCUGAUAUGGGUGACCAACAUAUCCAAAAAUCACCCAGAUCAGAGCAGGUGGUUCAGAAAAUUCCUGGAAGCCUCUUUUUGACCAACCGCAUGCCUGGUUUCAUGCCCAAAAUAGUUCCAGAGAAUCAGGCUGUGCGGCCAGUCUAUUUCAAAUACUCAAAAUACCGUUCAAAUUACCGAACGUAGCCAUUCAUGAAUGUAGUCAGUAUAUGUCCCUUGUUCAUGGGUUUCUGCCCACGGAACAUUUUGACUCCCGUUCGAAUAGCCGUAGUUCCAUGGAAAGUAACUGUUCAGCGGUGUUCGUGCCGCCGCAUGUCUGAUUUGAGUUCCAUGAACUCAACGACAAAACAGAGCUGAACACGUUCAAAUAAACAAGAUGGCCACCGCUACGUGUUCGACUAUACGAACAGCGACCACCCAGCCGUUCAACAAUUUGGCUGCGGUUAACUACCAGCCUUGGAGGUAAAUAGGCUGCACACUCCACUUGAUAGGGUCUCUCCACCACAAUAAAUUAAAGGGGCCAUAAUCACAGGGUAAAAGGCUGGCAAGUAGUCCCAUCCAAACCCCAGUGGUGAAGUGGCUUUCGCCACAGAAGGAUAUUGUAGAACUAGAAAAAGUACAGAGGUGGGCUACAAACUAGUAAGGGGAAUGGAAAACAUUAGUUAUGAAGAAAGGCUAGAAAAACUGGAAAUUUUUCUUAAGAAAAAAGGUGCAACAUACCUCAGAUGUGAUAUGAUAGCACUAUACAAAUAUAUACAGGGUAGGUACAAAGGUGACAAGAUGUCAUCUAUUGAGACUGGAAGAAAGGGUUAUUUACAGUAAUAACAAGAAAGAUGUGGAAUUCUCUGCCUAAAGAGGAUGAGUGUCAAAAUCACAGUCCUGCCUAAACCAUGAAGCAUCCACAAUUUCAUCAUCAAAAUGGCUCCCUAAGAUGGACUGACAAAGGAAUAGUUGAGACAACAACAGAUAGACAAGGUUCAUUUGCAGAUAGUAAAUAUGACUCAUAUGACCCAAAAUCCUAUCAGGAAAAAGCAGGACUAAAAGACAGCACUAAUCCUAGCAGCACAGGAACAGCACCCAAGAGAAGCAAAGGUAUAUCACACCAGACAGGAUUCAAGAUGCAUACUCAGCAUGGGUCCUCAUCUACCUAUUGUUCCUGUAUCAUUUUGUAAAGGUCUAAUUUAUCGUUAAAUCUCCCCAUUCAGCUUAUUGUGAAAUAAGUUGGCGUUAUAUAACUAUCAAUAAUAAUAAUAAUAAUAAUGAUGGGGGAGCUGGAAUGACUUGGACAAAUGGGAGCCUGAAACUACCUGGGGCUCCCAUUGCCCCUUUAGGAGCAUGCUUGCACCGCUCUUAAUUACCACCGGUGGGCCAUGAGACCGUUCGUUACGGUCGGGGCACACGGACUGCUCAGUAUUAGCAAAUGAUCGAGCGGCAUGCGGCUCGUGUGGAUGCAGGAGUGCUUGAGCCACAUGCAGCUCGAGCGAAAGACCCAGGUCAGCUCGUUGUAUGGGUUAAGUACCACUUCUAAAUGGAAGACUGCAGUGGUGGUGGAUGUGGCAACACCCAACGACCAUAAUAUCAGGAAGAUAGAACACAAGUAGGUGGAUGUAGUGAUGCUCCAAUACUCCAAGCAAGGAUCUCAGCUGAAGUCCUCUCAGGUUGGAGGAAAUGCUGCUGUGAGGAUUAUAGCCCACCUCCCCAAGCAUUAGACAACACUUAGAGAAGGGGAGAACAAUCAAACUUUAUUAAAAACAGCAAAUCUACUUAUACCCCAAAGCCUCAUUUACUUGCAAUAGGGUUACAGUGAUACCCAAUGGCAGUAUGGGCUUGGGAUAGUAACUAAUUACACUGCAUAUCCCAAGCUAAGCAAUAGCAGUAUGGACUUGGGAUAGCAACUAAUCAAACUACAAAACUUAUAACCAGUGUGAAUGGAGCCAUGUAAUUACCAGGAAAGGUGGGGACAGACAAUAGCAAGGGCUGAGAACCACAUGGGGGAUUAAAAUGAUUGGUAGUUGGGCCAGUUUGAACUUGUGUCCCUGGAACAAUGGGACAAUGCCCUCCUGGGAAAACAAUGAGAAGGGGUAAGAAAAUAGCUUAAAAACAAACAAAUACAUUGUACACACCCUACACCUAUACUCGGCACAGGGUAACCAUCAAAAAGUGUAAAUUUUCCUUCAACAGUGAUGGUGACUGCCAUCACAUUGGACAAAUACAAAGGGCUGAAAAUGAGCUACAAAGGAUGUGGAAAGAAAAGGCAGUACUAGACCCAGUUGUGAUAGGAGCAGUCAAGGCUGUAAACCUCAAGUUGGGAGAGUGGCUUCAGCAGAUUCCAGAUGAGAAAUCUGAGAUCUCUGUCCAGAAGAGUGAAGUUCUAGGAACUGUGAAGAUAGUGCGCAGAACCCUCAGACUCCCAGACCUAUGGCUGAGGACCCAAGUAUGGGGAAUACACAAAAUUACCAUCUGGGAGGAGUGAGAAAACCAACUUUAUUUAUAUUAUAUAUAAAUAUUAUAUUUAAUAUUAUUUUUUUUGUCACUGUCAUCUUCUGCUUGUGCAUGUGUUUAUAUGUCUCCUAACUUCUCUUAAGGAAGUUAGACAUGGAGUUUUCCGGUGCAAGUGGUUUUUGCAGUUACUGCAAAAACAUUGUUAUUAUUAUUACUGGCAUUUAUAAAGCGCCAAAAUACUCCACAGCUCUGUAUACAUCUAAAAUUAAAAAGAAAUCAGAGUGAUUAUAUUAGUAACACCUGAAGGCAUGUGGUUAGACCUGAAUGACAGGCAGGAAGGAGGUGUGCAUGUCAUCCUUUUCUCAGUUUGUUACUCAUUGCAGAAAGACCAAGAAAAACAGUGGCAAUGGUUCUGCAUGUUUGUUUGCCCUGUCUCUCAUUGAACCUCCAGCCUACAAACAGAAGUGCUGUGUGAGUGUGUGGGGAUCUAAUGUCAUAUUUUCCCCUAUCUCCACCUGUAUGUUUAGAACUUCACUGACAGGCCUGUCAGACAAGCUUAUUAAUUCCUUGCCAGGUCACACUACGAUCUGGAAGGUACAGGAUGACACAUGUGAGUUACAAGAGAGAAACAAGGGAGGGAAUGUUUCAGGAAAGAUGAGAGGUUCAGAAGAGGAGAGAUACACAAGGAAGUGAGGGGGUCAAAAGAGAAAGCCAAGAGGGUGAGAUUGUGCAAAGAAGCAUACAAGGCGUGUAAAAAGAAUUACAAUUUCUUGAAGGUUGCAUCAGACAAUUCAGGCCCAGGUACCAAAUAAUCUGGUAUGCCUCUGAAUUACAUUAAAUCGUUGUAGUUUAGAUGCAAGGAGUGUCCCUUGGAAUUAAAAAAAAACCAAAGAUCUGUAGAUAUAUGUAUAUAUAUAUAUUUUAUUUUUUUAUUUUUUUUGUUUCCUAAAAUUGUCUUAUUUAUUUUAACAGGUAAAACAACAAGCUCAGAAAUUGCACACUGACAAGAAACGAAAACCAGAGGAAUUCCAGAGAUUAAUCCUUCCCUACAUAACAGCGAACUUUGUAAAGGGAGUCAUAUGAAUCCAUAUGAAUCUACGUGAAUCUUUCUCAAUUGUUUCAUUUUCCAUCCACUUCCUCUCUGCCAAAGUGUUUAUCCUGUCACAUAAUUGUGGGGAGUUAAACAUACAGGUUGCUAACUUAAACACAGCCUUCUGGCACAUGAACCCAUCACAAAGACAAAAUUUCCAAGAUUUAUUUGUUAAUUUACCUGCCCUGCACAGCACCAAGGCUUCAUUAGAACAUUCAUGCUGAACAGAAUGAAGCAAGAACCUCAAGUUUUACCAAAUAGUUUCAGCUUCCUAUAAAAUAUAAAGCUCAAUUUUAAAUUCUGGUUCUUGCUUUCAAAUCUCUGCAUAAUGCUGCUCCCACCUAUCUAUCCUCCCUUAUACACAAGUAUGUCCCAUCUAGGCC
Molecule: long non-coding RNA, 8342 nt
Filed under: Pelobates cultripes (western spadefoot toad)
Lineage: Eukaryota; Metazoa; Chordata; Amphibia; Anura; Pelobatidae
Source: RNAcentral